GGUAAGUAUAUAAAGAAACUAUUACGGAUAUACAGAGCUAUAUAUUAAAGAUUAUAAACUAAAAUAUUCUUGGAAAAAUCCAUUUUAUAAACGUAGCGAAUUGAAAUAUCUUAGUAGCUUCAGGAAUAAAAAUCAAAUGAGAUUCCAUAAUUAGCUAUAACUGUUAUGGAAAAGCCUUUAAAGUAAAACGGAAAUAAUCUGUUUGAAUUUAGGGAAACCUUUCUCUAAGGCUAAAUAUAAUAUAUAAGCGAUAGCGAAAAAGUACCGUGAGGGAAAUAUUUGAAAUAGUAGUUUUAUAAGCAGCUCAAGUUUAAUUUAAAAGUAUAAUUAGAGCGUACCUUUUGCAUAAUGGGUCAGCAAGUUAAUGUUAGAUGCGAGUAGAGUUCGAAAAGAGUAAAACUAGUAUUAGGAAAGCUUUAUUUUUGAAUAAUUUCUCGAAAAGAGUAAAAGUAAAUUUAAACAGGUUAUUUUUUACUUUUUUCAAAAAAGGAGAAAAGAUGAAAUAAAAAGUAACUAAUAUGAAAUGAAAUGAAUAGGUAAUAGUAUCUCUUACCUAGAUAAACCAAUUAUUAAUUAAUGAUUAAGUAUCUAAUGUUAGACCCGAAGCCUAGUGAUCUUACCAUGAUCAGGGUUAUAAAGGCCCGAACGGGUUAUCGUUGUAAAGAUAUCCGAUGAAUUGUGGUAAGUUAGUGAAAGACAAAACUGACUAGGAUAGCUGGUUUUCUGCGAAACCUAUUUAAGUAGGUAAUGUAAAUAACAUCAUAGCAGGUACAGAACUGUGAUCUCGGACAAAUCAUGUUAUUUUUUGCGCGAAGCGAGAAAGAUAACAUGGUUUUGUAUACAUCGGGGAAUCGUGAAGAUUUUAUCGGCGAGAAUUUGCUCUCGGAAGGGCAAUGAUGGAUUUUGCAUAAUCGGACAUAGUACGAUAAGGUUGUAUGUCUAAAGGGAAACAGCCCAGAACAAGAGUUAAAGGUUCCAAAAUUAUUGUUAAGUGAAAAUAAGGAAGUUUUCUUCAAAUACAACCAGGAAAUAGGCUUAGAAGCGGCCAUUUUUUGAAGACCUCGUAACAGAGCACUGGUUUACAUUUAAAAGUUGAAAGCACCGAAAAUUUAACGGAUCUAAAACAAUAUACCGAAACCUUGUCUAUAAGUAAAUAUAUUUUGAGAUUUAUGUGUGAAAGCACUUGCAAAGCGCUAAAAAGUGCUGAUAAUUAAUUUUUAUCUUAAAUACUGUUUAUUUGUAGGGUAGCAGAACGUUGGGCAUAUCUUAGACUUAGUUUUUUUAUAAUUAAGUAGGUUUAGCGUAAAGAUCGGUAUUAAAAAACACCUAAGUUUAAAUCUAUCUGUUUGAGGUUUAAAAUUUAUUUGUUUGAGGUAUUUAGAGAAUCGUUGAAUAAGAUGACCCCAAGUGAUAAUGCUGGCAUGAGUAACGAAAAAGGGAUAUCCCCUCGCCUUAAGCUUAUGGUAUUUUAAUUAAGUAACGGCCUCUAAGUUUAUAACAGUCCUAAAGGACUAAACGAUGAGAAAGAUCUUAAGAUGUGACCUAACAACAUUUUUUUGUAGACAAUGUUCUGGAAAAAGGCACACAAUAUUAAUAACCAUAAAAAUGGAAUACAUAUAAAUAACCGUACCUAGAUACUACCACAAGUAAGCAAGUAGAGUAUACAAAGGCGUUUGAGUUAACAAUCAUUAAGGAACUCGGCAAAAUGACACCGUAACUUAGGGAUAAGGUGUGCCAUUCUUCUUAAGUAAUAUUAAGUUAAGGAUAGGAGGCAUAGAGUGGUGUUGUACGACUGUUUAAUUAAAACAAAGCACUUUGCAUAAGAUGAUAAAUCAAAGUAUUGAGUGUGAAUUCUGCCCGAUGUUGGCUGGUUAACGAAUUUUCUUAGCCGACUAAAAUAAGCUAGGUUUUGAAGGAAACCCCAAUCAAUGGCGGCCUUACCGAUGAGGGUCCUAAGGUAGCGGAAUACCUUGGCCGUUAAAUGCGGUCUUGCAUGAAUGAUUUAACGAUACAACAGCUGUCUCAAUGAUUGGCUCAGUGAAAUUGGAAUAACUGUGCAGAUACAGUUUACCUCUAGUUAGACGAGAAGACCCUAUGCAGCUUUACUGUUUGUAGUUAUUGGAUACAAUUGAACCAGUUGUAGCGUAUAAGGUAGUUGAUAAGAUACAAUUGAAACACCUUUACUUAGUUUAUUGUAUAAGUAGGAUACUGAUUACUAGUAUUAAUCAGAAAAACUACAAAGCUUAUCCUAUAAAAAGAGAUAUAAGGCACACACGCUUUAUAUUUGGAAACAUUUGCUAUUAGACAGUUUAUGCGGGGCACAGAUCCCACAAAAAGUACCUGGGUGUAUCCAAAGUUAAUUUUGUAAAUUUAUUGGUAAUAUAUUUUUUCCAAUAGAUAAAUAUAUUAUAUAACAAAAGCUUUUGCAAAUAUUGUAUAAUGUAUUAUUUUUUAAUCUGUAAUGUAUUGCUUUCAAUAUAUUCAGUUAUUUAUCUAUUAAGUUAGAUUUAUUUAUUUUUUUUUAAGUAAGAUUUUAACUAUAUGGAAAAUAGAUGUAAAUAAAACACUAACCAUCUUUAGCUAUAUCGCGCGAAGCGAGCGCUUUGCGAGAAAAAGUAGCAAUGUUAAAAGUAGUGUUUUAGUUUAUUUCCUUAAUAUGCUUUUGGUAUUAAGGAAAUGAUUAUUAUUUUACUUUAAAAGUUUAAUGGCUUAAUCUUGCUUUACUGUUUGACUUACACGUCUAUCAGUUGCGUAAGCAGGGCAUAUGAUCACAAGAUGCAUAAAGGAAAGGUCUUGGAUUUUUGAAAAAGCUACGCUAGGGAUAACAGGCUAAUUGCGCCAGAGAGUACAAAUUGAGUGCGCAGUUUGGCACCUCGAUGUCGGCUUAGCUCAUCCACAUGAACGCAGAAAUCAUGAAGGGUUCGACUGUUCGUCGAUUAAAGAGCUACACGAGCUGGGUUAAAUACGUCGUGAGACAGUAUGGUUUCUAUCUUCUAGAGGAAAUUAGAGUAAAAUAAGGAUAGCCCCUUCGUACGAAAGGAGUUGGGUAUGGUAACCUCUGGUUUACCUGUUGUUUAUGUAUCCAAUAUUAUAAAUUUUAUAAAAAUCUAAGAAAAGGAUAUAUAUCGGAAUAUCGAAGUAGAUGAUGUAGACUCACCUUCGGUUUUUAUCAUCCACUAUACAAUAUAUACAUCAUAGGCACGGCAGGAAACCCACGUUAGUUAUAGAUAAGUGCUGAAUGCAUAUAGGCGCGAAGCUUAUCUUAAGAUACUCUUAAAUGUACGUGGUAUAAUACUACGAGUAUUAGUGUGAGCGUAUCACAAAAUGUGCGUUAUACAUUAAUACUGUAUAGGCUUUUUCU
Molecule: ribosomal RNA, 3361 nt
Organism: Metarhizium album ARSEF 1941
Lineage: Eukaryota; Fungi; Ascomycota; Sordariomycetes; Hypocreales; Clavicipitaceae
Rfam family: Bacterial large subunit ribosomal RNA
Source: Rfam